This is a long non-coding RNA of Oncorhynchus masou masou (cherry salmon), 210 nucleotides long. RefSeq lists it as uncharacterized. The record is from RefSeq and is a predicted model, not a curated record. The transcript is spliced from 2 exons. Lineage: Eukaryota; Metazoa; Chordata; Actinopteri; Salmoniformes; Salmonidae.
CCCGGAAGCUACAGAGAUUGAGAGAGAGGAACAGAACAAACAAACAACGCGCUAAUCCAUAACAACGAUAAUAUUCUAGAGGAACUUCAGUUCACUAAAACAUGACCUGUAGGAUUUAACCAUUGGAUGCCACUUCAAACAACUGUUAUGCUACAACCAAUAAGAACCCAUAACCCAAGAUGUUGACACACACAAAUAGGUUAUGACAAG